CUUAUGCGUUGUUGGGUAGGGGAGCGUUCUGUAAGCCUGUGAAGGUGUGCUGUGAGGCAUGCUGGAGGUAUCAGAAGUGCGAAUGCUGACAUAAGUAACGAUAAAGCGGGUGAAAAGCCCGCUCGCCGGAAGACCAAGGGUUCCUGUCCAACGUUAAUCGGGGCAGGGUGAGUCGACCCCUAAGGCGAGGCCGAAAGGCGUAGUCGAUGGGAAACAGGUUAAUAUUCCUGUACUUGGUGUUACUGCGAAGGGGGGACGGAGAAGGCUAUGUUGGCCGGGCGACGGUUGUCCCGGUUUAAGCGUGUAGGCUGGUUUUCCAGGCAAAUCCGGAAAAUCAAGGCUGAGGCGUGAUGACGAGGCACUACGGUGCUGAAGCAACAAAUGCCCUGCUUCCAGGAAAAGCCUCUAAGCAUCAGGUAACAUCAAAUCGUACCCCAAACCGACACAGGUGGUCAGGUAGAGAAUACCAAGGCGCUUGAGAGAACUCGGGUGAAGGAACUAGGCAAAAUGGUGCCGUAACUUCGGGAGAAGGCACGCUGAUAUGUAGGUGAAGUCCCUCGCGGAUGGAGCUGAAAUCAGUCUAAGAUACCAGCUGGCUGCAACUGUUUAUUAAAAACACAGCACUGUGCAAACACGAAAGUGGACGUAUACGGUGUGACGCCUGCCCGGUGCCGGAAGGUUAAUUGAUGGGGUUAGCCGCAAGGCGAAGCUCUUGAUCGAAGCCCCGGUAAACGGCGGCCGUAACUAUAACGGUCCUAAGGUAGCGAAAUUCCUUGUCGGGUAAGUUCCGACCUGCACGAAUGGCGUAAUGAUGGCCAGGCUGUCUCCACCCGAGACUCAGUGAAAUUGAACUCGCUGUGAAGAUGCAGUGUACCCGCGGCAAGACGGAAAGACCCCGUGAACCUUUACUAUAGCUUGACACUGAACAUUGAGCCUUGAUGUGUAGGAUAGGUGGGAGGCUUAGAAGUGUGGACGCCAGUCUGCAUGGAGCCGACCUUGAAAUACCACCCUUUAAUGUUUGAUGUUCUAACGUUGACCCGUAAUCCGGGUUGCGGACAGUGUCUGGUGGGUAGUUUGACUGGGGCGGUCUCCUCCUAAAGAGUAACGGAGGAGCACGAAGGUUGGCUAAUCCUGGUCGGACAUCAGGAGGUUAGUGCAAUGGCAUAAGCCAGCUUGACUGCGAGCGUGACGGCGCGAGCAGGUGCGAAAGCAGGUCAUAGUGAUCCGGUGGUUCUGAAUGGAAGGGCCAUCGCUCAACGGAUAAAAGGUACUCCGGGGAUAACAGGCUGAUACCGCCCAAGAGUUCAUAUCGACGGCGGUGUUUGGCACCUCGAUGUCGGCUCAUCACAUCCUGGGGCUGAAGUAGGUCCCAAGGGUAUGGCUGUUCGCCAUUUAAAGUGGUACGCGAGCUGGGUUUAGAACGUCGUGAGACAGUUCGGUCCCUAUCUGCC
This 1451-nucleotide ribosomal RNA is filed under the name Escherichia coli. RNAcentral's name for it is "partial 23S ribosomal RNA". It matches the Rfam family "Bacterial large subunit ribosomal RNA", at positions 1213 to 2646 of the family's 2925-position model. The record is from RNAcentral. Lineage: Bacteria; Pseudomonadati; Pseudomonadota; Gammaproteobacteria; Enterobacterales; Enterobacteriaceae.